RNAcentral lists this long non-coding RNA (282 nucleotides) under Homo sapiens (human). Its description in RNAcentral is "HSALNT0078811". The record is from RNAcentral. Lineage: Eukaryota; Metazoa; Chordata; Mammalia; Primates; Hominidae.
UGCCAAUAUAGCCCUAUCCCUACGUGAGUAGGGGAAGGGAAUUGUGGUUGGACAACAGAGUUCUGAGAAAGGCAGUGAUUGAGCAGCUGAACUCCAUCCAUUUGGUGGGUAAGGACCCCAGAGUAUUCAAAGUAUCAAAUGGAAUGUGACUGAAGUGUUAUCUUGCUGAUGUUACCCAGGAAAACUGUCCCCUAGGCAAGGGGACACCAAACACAAAGAGGCACGGGAUAAGGAUUUCGUGACGAGAAUUGGGCAGAACUGGAGUUUAAUCCCCAUGUCAUG